This 447-nucleotide ribosomal RNA is filed under the name uncultured Bacillota bacterium. Its description in RNAcentral is "bacterial SSU rRNA". It matches the Rfam family "Bacterial small subunit ribosomal RNA", at positions 356 to 795 of the family's 1533-position model. The record is from RNAcentral. Lineage: Bacteria; Bacillati; Bacillota.
GGGGAAUCUUCCGCAAUGGGCGAAAGCCUGAUGGAGCAACGCCGCGUGAGUGAAGAAGGUCUUAGGAUUGUAAAGCUCUGUCCUUAGGGAAGAACCGUGGGUAUAACAAAUGAUACCCACCUGACGGUACCUUUGGAGGAAGCACUGGCUAACUACGUGCCAGCAGCCGCGGUAAUACGUAGAGUGCAAGCGUUGUCCGGAAUUAUUGGGCGUAAAGGGUACGCAGGCGGAUAAUCAAGUCAAGCGUGAAAGGUGUCGGCUUAACCGACAGACUGCGUUUGAAACUGGUUAUCUUGAGUGUAACAGAGGAGAGUGGAAUUCCUAGUGUAGUGGUGAAAUACGUAGGUAUUAGGAAGAACACCAGUGGCGAAGGCGACUCUCUGGGUUAACACUGACGCUGAGGUACGAAAGCUGGGGGAGCGAAUGGGAUUAGAUACCCCAGUAGUC